ACUCGGUCGCUACGUAGCCACUGAGCUUGGCUCGAGCUCGGUCGCUACUUAGCGACCGAGCGGAACACGCGUUCGGUCAUUGCAUAACGACAUUUUUCGAGCUCUUGUCCGAUGUCUCGUGUUUCCUCUGUAAAGCUUUUCGUAAAAAAGAAUCUAUUUCUAAAAAGUAUUCGUCGAAGAAAGUUCUCAUUUUCUUCUCUGGACGUUUUGAAUGUUAACUCCGCCGUAACCAUAUUUGACCCCAACAACGCAGGACCUCCUUGCUCAUCAGGAAGUGCACUCCACGGAAACGUCGAGGAAUCGCCAACAUCUUUUUCGCCACUGCUUCCCCAAGAAAGGAUACCAGACGAGACACAUCUGAAAGCAAAACCAAUUAUCAGCAGACCAACAACCAAAGGAGGAAAAGGCGCCAGAAGCGAGACUUACCAACAGUACGCCAGAAUGUAGGAUAAUAGAAGGGUUCCUGGAUCUUCAUAAACAUGUACCGACUGGUCCAAUUGUCCCCAAAGGGGUAAUUACCUCGGGCACCUCUCGAAGGCUCUUCAACCAAGGGAGCGCCGUCGCGAGGCUGAAGGUGGUAUAACCCAGACACGAUUAUUAAUGGGGCAAAUUAGUAGGAGUAUAGAACUUUGUGUACCCCGGUAUCAAGGCCAUAAAGCUCCCCGGGCACUUGGAUUGACAUUAAAGUCUUCCAGGAUAAAUGAGUGAGUUGAGAAGGACAGAAACCCAAAAACGAUGAUACUUCAGCCACGAGCGAAGGGACGAUCCCCCGGAAACCUUCUAUCAGAUACGCCUCAAAAUUGCUAUCUCGCCUGGCCCCCCAUCAGGAGCGCGCUCAAAUUCCAAAGAACUCCUCACCUGCACCGAAAAAUGGAUCCCGUACUUUCUCCAUAUCACCUUCAGACCUCCCUCCUGAAUUUCAGAACGCGGGCCAUCAUCGAGAACGAGGGAAUCACGUUGCUUCAAAGGCACCAUUGGGAUCGCCUCGCUAUCAGUUUCAGAAACUUCUCCGAAAGAAGCAACAGAGGAGGAGAAAGGAUCAGCAAACAGGCGACAAGGCCUUACGCGGCCACCCACGAGUGAAGCAGGAAGAUCAGAGUUCAUCUUCUUGAAUAAGGGAUGAAUGAAACUCUAUGCAUCGGGCACCCUAAAUAUAUGGCUGAUUCUUUCCUUUUUGGAGCCAGGAAAAAGGAAUCAGAUAUUUCCAAAUCUUCAGAAGAGUCCUUUAUGAAAGAAACGGCCGGUCUGGAAAAAGGAAAGGCGCCAGGGGAAGCAAUGUUUCCACUUUCUUCCUCAAAUCGACGGAUCCUAGUCUCAGAGGCUCCAUAAUCCCCCUAGCGAGAACUUCUCCAGCUUAUACGCAGAUUAACAUCAGAGUUCCGGUCCCACCAUCUCCAGAAGAUAGAAGGAACUACUACUAGACUCCGGUCAAACAACGAAGGAACCGGUCCUCACCUGGGUUCAGAAUGAGUUCCGACUUGAAUGGAAUCCAAGCUAGCAAGACCAAUGGAACGGGGUCCUGCCUAAGGGGAGCCUGCUGAGAAUGAGCAACCCCGGUUGACUUGAGUGUACAGGUUAUUCCCCGACUUCGAUGACGAAAUUGAGAAAUAAGGGGCAAACUGUUGGGGAAAAAUACCCCGGUACCAUUUCCUCCAGCCUCCAGGCAGGACCUAGACCCUCGGGUCCCCGCUAGAAAGGAACCCCGAGUUCGGUCCCUGGAACCGAGCUCCCUUCCAAGAAAUGGAAAACUUCCGACAAGGAGAACCUUCCAUUUUUCCGAAUAUGGAGAGUUUAACCUAACAAAACCGACUCCUAGACGACUACAUAAGAGCUACUAAAACCCUGAAGCAAGGGAUCAACUUAUCCAAGGCUUAGAGACUAGAACUUGACGGCUAGAAUUAGGGUUCUUACUCAAUACCUUGUAAUUUUUCUUGUUCUAUCUAAUAAAAGUCUCCUCAAGCCUAUCUCUUUAUUAUUCCCUCAAAAUCCUCAUGAAAUCCUCACAAAAGAUAUACAAAUCUGCUCGGUUUACCAGCUUGUCCAUCGUUCCGUGGUACUCUAAAAGAGCCUACACAAAAAUCCUCUAACAAAACGGACUCUAUAAUUGCAUAAGGAAACGAUAAGGGUUCUUACCAUUGGGGUUUUUCGAUUUAGGUACGCCGCUCAAGAUGCCGGAAGAGACAGAGGUCUUGCCGUUGAGUUUGUUCAGACCGGAGGUGACCGAAACUUCGCCUUUGGCUUGCUUCGAGUGGGGAUCGCCGAUUGAGUGGUUGGAAGAGACAUAUGGUGUUCCGAUGGGCUUGAUCGGUCCGGGAGAGGAGUCAGCAUCAAUGCCUUUUGGUUUCUCGGAGGUGGAUUUUCCGUUGGAACUCAUUGCAACGAAGCUUAAUCGAAAUAAGAAUCGGAUUAAGAAUUGUAUAAACAAAAUCUGAAGGAGAAAAGGGAGAUUAAGAGUUUUAUAAAGAAAAUCAAAAGGAGAAAAGCAAAACGAAUCCAUAAAUGAGAGUAAAGGGACAACGAAGUGGAGGAUGUAUUGAUUGUUUAGGGGUCAGAUCGUGAAACAGAUCAAAGAAAAGGAAGAGCAAAAAGGAUGAAGAAUCGAUCUGAGUUAUUAGGGUUUGAAGAAAUGCGAAAGGGAGAGGUCGAAAUGGUUUGGUCGCCGUCCGUGUCUUUCAAUGGUCUGAUGGGCUUGAGGUCCAAUCGUAUCAAAAACACGGUAAACCCAAGAAAGGCAACACACAUGUGACAUGGCAAAAACGUCCUCUCUGAUUGGCUGAUUAAAUUGUCCUACGUGGAUAGGCUGGUUGAGGCUGAUAUUCUGCUUUUAUUACUUAUUGAUUUGAGGUUUCAUUCUGGUGUUAUGUCUUUGUAUUUAUUUUGGUUCUCUUGUAGUUUUAAAAACUAUAGAUACACAGGUCUUGGUCUAAAUCAUAUAUAUAUAUAUAUAUAUAUAUAAUGAGAGACUUUUCUCUCUUCCUAGAAGGUCCACGUCAGAUUCCUUUUAUUUGGAAGGGUGAUUCGUUGUUUGGUCCGUUUGAAGUAGGUUUGGUUUGAUUAUAUGAUUUUGGGUUGGGCUCCUGUGUUCUGUUUCUAUAUAUAUAUAAUGAGAGAUUUUCCUCUCUUCCUAGAGGGUCCACGUCAGAUUCCUUUUAUUUGGAAGGGUGAUUCGUUGUUUGGUCCGAUUGAAGUAGGUUUGGUUUGAUUAUAUGAUUUUGGGUUGGGCUCCUGUGUUCUGUUUCUAUAUUGGGUUCAGAAAUAUAUCGUAUGGGCUGUUAGUUGGGGUUGGGCCUGUGUUAUUGAAUAAUCGAUAGGAAUAAUUGAAAGAAAAUGAUGUGCUUUGUUCUAGGGCAUCAUCCUUUCCUUCUUCCAUUUUUCAAGUCGCCGAUUUUGUUUCUGUUGUUUUGUAAAGCCAAUCAUUCUCAUCUCUUUGCCUUCCUCCACCUUCGAUGUAUUCUUUAACUGUUGUCUUAAUUACACUAAACUCUGUAACGUUUUGGUAUUCUUCGUCUGAUGAUUCUUUGUUCUAUAAGUAGGAGAUGGAUGAGGCUGUGGGGAUCGCUCGCAAUCACUCUCAGUUUUGUUUCUGUUGUUUUGUAAAGCCAAUCAUUCUCAUCUCUUUGCCUUCCUCCACCUUUGAUGUAUUCUUUAACUGUUGUCUUAAUUACACUAAACUCUGUAACGUUUUGGUAUUCUUCGUCUGAUGAUUCUUUGUUCUAUAAGUAGGAGAUGGAUGAGGCUGUGGGGAUCGCUCACAAUCACUCUCAGUUAAAAUUUCUUCCUUCAGCUUCCAAAGAUUCUCUCAAAGAUGGCUUCCUCCGCUCCGGCCGUUGUUGGCCCGACAUCGUUCGACGAUCUCUGCCUGGGUCGAUCUGCUCAGUUCGUCGUGGCUCGCCUCCUGCGUUUUUGGGACUCCAGAAACAUUAAGAAGCAAGGCAAAUUCAUGGGAAUCACCUUGCUUUUCCUUGAUGAGCAGGUACUGUUCCAUUUAUUUACGAUCAAACUUUUGAGAAAGACCAACCAUUUGUGAUUCCGUUAAUUUCAUCAGUUCUGUUUUGUCACAUGUUUAUUUGUCGUUUUGUUCACAGAAUUCUGUGAUCCAUGGGUUUAUUACUGCCGCUCGCUCCGGUCACUACCAUCCAGGUUUACGAAGUGGUUCCAUCGUCAAAGUUUCACGCUUUGAGUUUGCUAGAUGCACUAAUCUGUACAAGAUCACAGACAAUCCAUUCGUGAUCCGGUUCCUCCCACAAACAACCAUUGAUGAAGUCGCUCCCAUUAUCAACCUCCAGAAAUUCAUGCUCAGGAAGUUUGAGCAUCUUCAAGCACUUGAUAACACGAACUUGGAACUCCCAGGUUUAUUUCUUAUAUAUUAUUCUCGAAAUAAUUUUAUUCGCUUUAAAAAUUGUCUUAAUUAUGGUCUCAGGCUGAGACAGUAUAUGUGUUUCACGUUGCAGAUGUUGUAGGAAUGAUUCGUUCCGUCCAAGGUUCCGAUCUUUCGGACGCUACAGUGAUGACUCGAGUUGUUGUCCGCUUCGUCAUCGAACCUAAUGUUGUGGUGUAUCUGUCCUUAUGGGAUGAAGCUGCGGCAACCUUUCGGGGACUCAUCAGCUCAGGCGAAAGAGCACAGUCUGUUAUGGUGGUCCCAACUGUGAAUCCAAAAAUCUUUGGAGGUUUGUAAAAUCUUUUAAAAAUUUUGGUUCAAACUGCUUUUGGUAAAUUCAAUUAUUUUGGGGUUUAAUUUAUGAUGCAACCCAAACACUUACUCUCUGCAGGAAAUUUGUACCCCAACUCCACCCCAGCCACGAAAUUUUAUUUCGACAUGAAUCUUCCAGCCAUCACCCAGUUCACAGCUAGGUUAUAUUCCACUUUGAUUAUAUUAAUCUUGAAUUAGUCACUUUCUAACAUAUAUGAUUCGCUUUCAUCUUAGGAGGACCAGUUGGUGAAUCUUUUCCUUGCAUUGAUACCAAGGAAUCAAUCAAGAAAAAGGAACAUGUCUCCAUUGGAGAUCUCAACAAAUUCAUCUCCAACUCUGAUGAGCAGACCCAAGAAGCAGAGUUCAUCUGCAAGGCUCGAGUGCUUGAGGUUCUCCAACAGAAUGGGUGGUCUUUUGUUUCAUGCACUGGCUGCAGCAGAAAGUUAGAUCAAUCAAGCAAUUCUCUACGUUGCAACCGUUGUGUUAAUGCCAACGUCACAGGUGUUAUAAAGUGAGCAUUUUAACAGUUUAGUAUCAGAAUCAUUGUUUCUUGGAGACCACUUCUUUCCAUUGUGCUCACUAAAUCCGUUUUUUUUUCAGGUACCGUGUUGAAUUGUCCGUUGAUGAUGGGAAUGACAAUGCCACUUUUGUGGUUUUAGACAGAGAGAUGCUUAAUCUCAUAAAGAAAGAUGCCGCAACUCUAACUGUCAAAGAGGUUUGUUUACAAAAAACAUAAAAAUUAUACAAAGCAUAGCACUGCAUUGUGAAGUUACAAAAUGUUUUCACUUAUUUCAGAUGAAUGGUGGUGGGGGCGAGCAGCUCCCAUAGUGUCUAGAAGAACUUGGUGGAAAAGAAUUUGUGUUCCAAAUACGUGUUACCCCGUUCAAUUUCACCCCAAACCACCGCAAUUUCACUGUUUGUGGAAUAAGUGACCACAUUGAACCUGAGGUAUUAUAUAUAUUAUUCCAUUAAAUUUUACAUUAACUGACGCAUUAUAAUACAUGUUAAUUCGUUAACCGGACUUUCAACACCAACGAAGCUUUAAUUGUUGGUGGCGAGAGUGGCGAAACAUCUUCGUCCGCCGGUACCUUGGUUGAAGGUGAAGCGUAUGAUCCAAAUCCAACCGGUGGUCAGGUGAAGGAUGGUAGCCGCAAACGUCCCCGUGAGUGAAGCUACUAAGCUGUGAUCCGUCAACCCAACUCUGCUCCCGUUUUUUAAUUAUCAGUACCUUUAAUUACUAUGCAUUUCUUUUUUUUUUUUGGACUUUCCAGUAUUUUCCAGUUUCGGAAUAUGUUUCCGUCUGUGUACCUCUUAUGAGGAAAGACUUUUUAAUUUAAUAUCUACGAUGGGUUGACGUUAUAUUAAGUUUGAUUGUAAGAAAAUGCAGAAAAUGUUGUUUUGCAUACAUACCGAUAUGGAAUUAUAAAUGGAAUCUAGGUGACAACAUAAAAUUAAACAGGUCUUAUUUGGGAGAAGACAUCAUAUAAGAGUUAGUUAAUUAAAUUCUAUAAAUUAGAUCUAACAAUUGGACGUUUCAAGCAAUGCAUAGUAAAUACAAUUGAAGCAGUGAAGACGUUUAAAAAUACGAUUCGAUCUAUACAAGCCUGUUUAAAUUUGUAUCAGACUAAUGGCUAUUAUAUAUAUGAUUUAGCAUUUUUAACUAUAAAACGGGAAUGUGUGCCUCAAGUUAUUAAAAUCCAAGCAAUCAACACUUUUAAAAAGUUAAACUUUCAUACAAAUGUAGUUUACGGAUCACAAAUUAAAUAUGCAUCUACGUUUUCAUAUAAAAUAGUUGACAAGUAAAGUUAGUGAUUAAAAAAAAACAUUCAACUUAUAUAAGCCAUUUUAAAAUAAUAUAUACACUACAAAAAAACAUAUUUUUUACUAGGGCAGUAUUCGUUGUAAAUUCGUCGUAAACGGGGUGUUACGACGAAU
Molecule: long non-coding RNA, 6625 nt
Organism: Brassica napus (rape)
Lineage: Eukaryota; Viridiplantae; Streptophyta; Magnoliopsida; Brassicales; Brassicaceae
Exons: 3
Source: RefSeq, a predicted model, not a curated record